CUUCAGUGAUGACACGAUGACGAGACCGAUAAGAUUCAGUCUUGGUCAGGGGGGUUCUGGUUCGGAACUACGUUCUGUGGUUCGGUUCUGGUCCUUCUGGCCAGCGAGUCUUUUCUCGUGACGACACUGAGGCAUUUGUCUGAGAGGG
Small nucleolar RNA from Entelurus aequoreus (snake pipefish), 148 nucleotides. The record is from RefSeq and is a predicted model, not a curated record. NCBI's taxonomy places the organism in Eukaryota, Metazoa, Chordata, Actinopteri, Syngnathiformes, Syngnathidae.